UUCUUCUUCUAUCCCUCACCCAGAGCGUAAACUCUUUCGCCCCAAACGUCAAGUUUAAGACAACCACAUACAUGGAAGCAAACCAUGAAAGCACAUCUCCUAUAUAUGUCGUCUUUUAUCAAUGAUCACAACCCAAAUAUAUAUAUAUAUGUACAAUACUAAUUUCACUUCUUCUUCUCCCUCGUCCCAUAGUGUAAAAUCUUUUGCCACAAACGGCAAGUUUAAGGUAAUUUGUGGUUCUCUCUCCUUGUCUCUCUCGAGAUGUUUGUGAUUAAUAUCUCAUAUAUAUAUACAAAUUCUCUUUUCUUUGUUAAUAAAUGUUUUUUAUUGAGCUUGCGAUGUUUCCAACAAAUCUGAUGAGGCGGUUAUUCUGAAGAAGGAUUUAUCAAGUGGCUAAUUGCAGUAAAUUAGCUGAUCAUAUAAAGAGUAUUAUGGAUCUACAAGGAUAUCAAACUUUGAUGGUGAAGCGGUGAUGAGAUGAACAGAGCUUGCGGCGAAAGGCUGUUGUCGGUGAGCAUUGGAGACUUAUCAAACGCAUAACAUGCGGACACACAUGUGUCCUGAAAUUGGAUUUUUAUUGUGUAGAAUAUUCUACAAUAUUUUUUCUUUAUUAUGAUAAUAUGUAAAAUUCCAGCUUGUUGGGCU
Molecule: long non-coding RNA, 645 nt
Organism: Camelina sativa (false flax)
Lineage: Eukaryota; Viridiplantae; Streptophyta; Magnoliopsida; Brassicales; Brassicaceae
Source: RefSeq, a predicted model, not a curated record